GCAGGCUACAAAUGCAAAGUCGAGCGGAUGAGAGGAGCUUGCUCCUCGAUUCAGCGGCGGACGGGUGAGUAAUGCCUAGGAAUCUGCCUAGUAGUGGGGGACAACGUUUCGAAAGGAACGCUAAUACCGCAUACGUCCUACGGGAGAAAGUGGGGGAUCUUCGGACCUCACGCUAUUAGAUGAGCCUAGGUCGGAUUAGCUAGUUGGUAGGGUAAAGGCCUACCAAGGCGACGAUCCGUAACUGGUCUGAGAGGAUGAUCAGUCACACUGGAACUGAGACACGGUCCAGACUCCUACGGGAGGCAGCAGUGGGGAAUAUUGGACAAUGGGCGAAAGCCUGAUCCAGCCAUGCCGCGUGUGUGAAGAAGGCCCUCGGGUCGUAAAGCACUUUAAGUUGGGAGGAAGGGCUCAUAGCGAAUACCUGUGAGUUUUGACGUUACCAACAGAAUAAGCACCGGCUAACUUCGUGCCAGCAGCCGCGGUAAUACGAAGGGUGCAAGCGUUAAUCGGAAUUACUGGGCGUAAAGCGCGCGUAGGUGGCUUGAUAAGUUGGAUGUGAAAUCCCCGGGCUCAACCUGGGAACUGCAUCCAAAACUGUCUGGCUAGAGUGCGGUAGAGGGUAGUGGAAUUUCCAGUGUAGCGGUGAAAUGCGUAGAUAUUGGAAGGAACACCAGUGGCGAAGGCGACUACCUGGACUGACACUGACACUGAGGUGCGAAAGCGUGGGGAGCAAACAGGAUUAGA
RNAcentral lists this ribosomal RNA (744 nucleotides) under Pseudomonas oryzihabitans. RNAcentral describes it as "bacterial SSU rRNA". It matches the Rfam family "Bacterial small subunit ribosomal RNA", at positions 42 to 782 of the family's 1533-position model. Lineage: Bacteria; Pseudomonadati; Pseudomonadota; Gammaproteobacteria; Pseudomonadales; Pseudomonadaceae. The record is from RNAcentral.